This 435-nucleotide ribosomal RNA is filed under the name Escherichia coli. Its description in RNAcentral is "bacterial SSU rRNA". It matches the Rfam family "Bacterial small subunit ribosomal RNA", at positions 1 to 430 of the family's 1533-position model. The record is from RNAcentral. Lineage: Bacteria; Pseudomonadati; Pseudomonadota; Gammaproteobacteria; Enterobacterales; Enterobacteriaceae.
UUAAAUUGAAGAGUUUGAUCAUGGCUCAGAUUGAACGCUGGCGGCAGGCCUAACACAUGCAAGUCGAACGGUAACAGGAAGCAGCUUGCUGCUUUGCUGACGAGUGGCGGACGGGUGAGUAAUGUCUGGGAAACUGCCCGAUGGAGGGGGAUAACUACUGGAAACGGUAGCUAAUACCGCAUAACGUCGCAAGACCAAAGAGGGGGACCUUCGGGCCUCUUGCCAUCGGAUGUGCCCAGAUGGGAUUAGCUAGUAGGUGGGGUAAAGGCUCACCUAGGCGACGAUCCCUAGCUGGUCUGAGAGGAUGACCAGCCACACUGGAACUGAGACACGGUCCAGACUCCUACGGGAGGCAGCMGUGGGGAAUAUUGCACAAUGGGCGCAAGCCUGAUGCCGCCAUKCMGCGUGUAUGCAKAAGGCCUKCGGGUUGCAAAG